CGUUGCACUAUCGUUAACUGAAUACAUAGGUUAACGAGGCGAACCGGGGGAACUGAAACAUCUAAGUACCCCGAGGAAAAGAAAUCAACCGAGAUUCCCCCAGUAGCGGCGAGCGAACGGGGAGCAGCCCGGAGUCUGAAUCAGCUUGUGUGUUAGUGGAACGGUCUGGAAAGUCCGACGGUACAGGGUGAUAGUCCCGUACACGAAAGCACACUUGCUGUGAACUCGAAGAGUAGGGCGGGACACGUGGUAUCCUGUCUGAAUAUGGGGGGACCAUCCUCCAAGGCUAAAUACUCCUGACUGACCGAUAGUGAACCAGUACCGUGAGGGAAAGGCGAAAAGAACCCCGGCGAGGGGAGUGAAAAAGAACCUGAAACCGUGUACGUACAAGCAGUGGGAGCCUCUUUAUGGGGUGACUGCGUACCUUUUGUAUAAUGGGUCAGCGACUUAUAUUCUGUAGCAAGGUUAACCGUAUAGGGGAGCCGAAGGGAAACCGAGUCUUAACUGGGCGUUAAGUUGCAGGGUAUAGACCCGAAACCCGGUGAUCUAGCCAUGGGCAGGUUGAAGGUUGGGUAACACUAACUGGAGGACCGAACCGACUAAUGUUGAAAAAUUAGCGGAUGACCUGUGGCUGGGGGUGAAAGGCCAAUCAAACCGGGAGAUAGCUGGUUCUCCCCGAAAGCUAUUUAGGUAGCGCCUCGUGAACUCAUCUUCGGGGGUAGAGCACUGUUUCGGCUAGGGGGCCAUCCCGGCUUACCAACCCGAUGCAAACUACGAAUACCGAAGAAUGUUAUCACGGGAGACACACGGCGGGUGCUAACGUCCGUCGUGAAGAGGGAAACAACCCAGACCGCCAGCUAAGGUCCCAAAGUCAUGGUUAAGUGGGAAACGAUGUGGGAAGGCACAGACAGCCAGGAUGUUGGCUUAGAAGCAGCCAUCAUUUAAAGAAAGCGUAAUAGCUCACUGGUCGAGUCGGCCUGCGCGGAAGAUGUAACGGGGCUAAACCAUGCACCGAAGCUGCGGCAGCGAC
Molecule: ribosomal RNA, 1030 nt
Filed under: Enterobacter hormaechei
Lineage: Bacteria; Pseudomonadati; Pseudomonadota; Gammaproteobacteria; Enterobacterales; Enterobacteriaceae
Description: partial 23S ribosomal RNA
Rfam family: Bacterial large subunit ribosomal RNA
Source: RNAcentral